This is a long non-coding RNA of Tympanuchus pallidicinctus (lesser prairie-chicken), 7600 nucleotides long. RefSeq lists it as uncharacterized. Lineage: Eukaryota; Metazoa; Chordata; Aves; Galliformes; Phasianidae. The transcript has 2 exons. The record is from RefSeq and is a predicted model, not a curated record.
UUCCAGUUUUUGGGUAUUCUUCCCUGUUGUAAUCCUUAUUCCAUAUUUCUCUUGGCAGGGAAAGAUGAUCUAUCUGGUAGAAGCAGGCAGAGUCCACACACUUGGUCACUUUUGAGAUCUCAGGUUGUAAAUGGUGUGGGUCAGGAAUAGUUGUCAUCUGAGUGGAUACAGAAUAAGAACCAUAUCCUGCUUGGUGUUCUUACUCAGUGCUCCUCACCAUAGGUCUCACUGAGAACGCCUGAUAAGAUAUAUUUAUUUUUGACAGACAAAAGUCAUGCUUAGAGAUAAUAGAUAAUAAAAAAUGCAAAUGGUUCCCUGGAUAUUCAAAGAGAUCAGGUUCUUCAGCAUUAUGUAUAUGCCAAUUCUACACAGAAUUGUUAUUUUACAUUAAAGAAACAUGCUGCUGGUACAAAAGCAGUGAUUAAUGCCAAAAUCAGAGAUUAAAGCAAUUGUACCCUCUCCACUGCAACCCUUUAAUUUCAAACACCCAUUCCCACUCCACCCAAAGAAUGACUUGCCUAGACCACAUGUAAAGAUACAGAAUCAAAGUUCAGUAAGCAGCCUUAUUACAACUCAAAAUUUUGCUGAUUCACAAAAUGUCAGAGAUAUAAAAUAAUAUGUAUGAUAAAUGAUAUAUAUAUAUAUAUCACUCUUAAAGAGUACUUUUCAGUAAAGUGCUAUUAGACCUAUUAAGGAAAAUAUUAUAUAUAUAUUAAAUGAGGAUUAUAACAGAAAACCACUAGGAUCCCUUCACCACAAUUGCUGAUUAACAUGUAGGAGGAUCUGUCAUUCAAGACUCAGUAACAAGCCAUGAAAAUCUUCAGGUCUUGCUGUUCUCAGUUCCAUUAUUGAAUAGUGUCAAGAACCUCCUGUAUUCAUGCUAUUGGCAUGAAUGCCAUUAUAUCUUACUUUGUUUCUCUGAAAAUAGAAAAAUAUACGUUUAAAUAUCACUACAGAGUAAAAUCUUUAAGAAGCAAAUAGCAAAUGUACAGAACAAAAAAUAUACUGAGGCAGAUAAAGAAAUACAAUAGGUCUUUGAAAACUGAUGAAAGCUGUAACAGUAUUUAGGAAAAGUACUACUUUCUAGUACAGUACUUAUUCUCUUUUUGUACACAUCCGUAGGCAACAAUCAGUAGCAGGGUUCUGGGAGAGUCAGUCAUUUAGCCAUUCAUAUACACACACCUCCAAAAAUAUCACUGGAUUUCCUUCAUGCUAAACAGAAUAAGUUAAUGCUAUACAAGCAUUAGCAACGCUGCUAAUACCUAAAUUAUACAAAUAUUACUAAUUCAAGUGUAUGGUAUCGCAAGUAUAAUAUAAGAAGGAAAAAAAAAAAAAAGAAGUGAAAUCAAGCAAACAUACAACAAAGCAGCCUGAAAAAUCAAAACAGUUUCAAAACUGGAGUGGAGUCAGGCAGCAGUGUGGGAUAUCAGCUGUUCCAGGUUUUCAUUGUAAACAUGCCUAAAAGCUAGGAAGCUCCUGAUGCAUCCUGGUCAAGGGUACAGUUAAUCAUCACUCUGAUCUCUAUUAUAUUUUAUUCCAUCUAGCUGAUUUGUUCCGCGUCUAAACUAAAAGUUGCUGUUCAGCCUAAGUUGUUAAGGAGAAGAAUAUGCUGCUAAUUAUUCUGGAAGUGACUGAAAAAUACCUGAAAGACAAUGCAGUCAUUACUUGCAGCCAACAUGAGUUUAUGAGGGGAAAUUCCUGUUAAACUAACCUACUCUCCUUUUAUCAAAAUGUUACCCAUCUAGUCCACAAAGGGAAGUCUGCUGAAAUUUUAGAAUUUCAGCAAGGCUUUCAACACUGUUUCUCACAGCAUUCUUUUGGAGAAAACAUCCAGAAUACGCUUAGAAAAAAACAUAACAUAAAUAGUGAACUCAAAGAGUUCUAGUAAAUGGGAUUACAUCAGGUUGGUGGCCAGCCACCAGUGGAGUUGUACAGAGUUCAAUUCUAGGGCCAAUUCUCUUCAACAUUUUCAUUAACAACUUGAAUAUACAACUUCAAUGUAUACUAAGUAAGCUUGUGAAAAACAACAAAUUGUAAAUAGCUGACUCCCUCUAGGGCAGAGAGGCCUUGAUGAAUGAGAGGGUUGGGCAAUCACCAACCACUCGAAGUUUAAUGGGGGUAAGUGCCAGAUUCUGCACCUGGAAUACAGCAGCUCUGAAUGUAGGUACAGACUGGGGGUGAGAGGCUGGAGAACAGUCCUGGAGGAGCCAGUCCAGUGACUCUGGUUGAUAAGAAGUUGUAUCUGAAACAGCAGUGUGCAGCCAAAGUGCCAGCCGUACUCUGGAGUGCACCAGGCCCAGCACUGCCAGCCUGGUAGGGAGAGGGAUUUGUCCCACCUCAAGCUGUGUGAGCAAGGAAAAGGACAUGUACAGAGUAUUCAAAAGAAGGCACCCAACAUGCUAAGGAGUCUGGAGUACAUGACACAAGGAACAGUUGAGAUCUCUUGGUUUGUUCAGUUCAGAGCAGAGGAGGCUGAGGGAAGAUCUCACAGCAGCCUGCAGCUCCUCAUGAGAGGAGUACAGGGGCAGUGCUGAGCGCCCUAGUGGCAGCGACAGGGUCUGAAGGAAUGGCAUCGAGCUGUGUCAGGGGAGAAGCAGCUGGGUGUUAGGAAAAGGUUCUUCACCAGGCGGUGGGCACAACCCCAAGUGCUGGAAUUCAGUGCUUUCAGACAUAGGAUUUGGAUUUUAGAUGGUCCUGUGCAGAGCAGGGGUUGGACUCCAUGAUCCCUCUGGGUCUCUUCCAACUCAGGAUAUUUUAGAAAACACUGUAUUGCAAUUGCUUACUGCAUUGAGCAAUAUCUGUAUAAUUAAACUACCUUGUUGCCAGAGUUGCUUGCUUGUCCUUUAUGAAGCCUUAAUCUUUUAUCUUAAUCUAGCAAAUUCCAGGAGUACAAUAAUACCACUUAUUCUGAACCCUUGGGCGACCAUAAUUUAAAAGAUUUAUUAAGUGUUUUGGUAUAGAAUCCACAUGAAUCACUUCUCUCUAACAGUAUUUAAGCCGAAUUAUUUAAUCAAAUAUCUUCUCCAGAUUUUCAGGAAAUGGUCCUAAAACUGUAUUUGAAAUCGCCUAGGUAUUGACAAGCCAGAUUGUGAAAUGUCCUGAGAACAAUUUCUUUUGCUGCAUUUUGAAGUUUUUGCUAUGGAUAUAUAAAAAAGUAACAAUGAAAACUAAUCAGAAUUGCAGAGUUUUCCAGCACAUUUGAAUAAACGCACACAACCAAAAUAUCUAAAACCUGACUAUUUUUACAAUGCACUCUUGGAGCCUAAGCUUUUCUGCAUGACAAAGGCUGUUUAAUUAAUACAUGUUUGCUCAAUGGAAGUGAUAGCUGUGCACAAGCUACGCUGACCUGAAGGCAGUAGCAAUUCCCUAUUCCCUAGCAUAAGGUUCCAAUUGGUAUCUGAAAAAAUACAGCUUGUGGUGGAAGUUAUAGCGUUCAAAAAUACUAUAUUUGCACAGUGUUGUGGUAGUGCUCUUAACUUAUUAGAUUGGAUGAAGUUCUCUUUUCUAAAGACAGUUUGUUUUUUGAAGAAAAACGCAGGACUGUUAUCUGCUAUUUUUCAGGCUCAUGUGGGAUGCAAUUAAGAACACCUGUGUAUAUAAAAAAAUCAACAUCUUGGCUACUGUUGUAUUAUAUUAUCUAAAUUACCAGAGCCAAAAUGAGAAGGAAUUUCAGUUAACCAAGCAUGCUGACAACAGAUGGCAGCAGUCUAAACUGAGAACAGCACCAAAAAAUACAUCACUCGGAAAGUGAGAAAAAAAUAUUACUGAGAGGUUUUAUGAUUUGUUUUGUUAUUUUAAAAUCACAGUACAUCCUUACUCAGUUAACUCAGUAGAACAGCUCAUAGACUGGGCAUUUCCUCUUGAGUAGUGCUGUCCAAAUCUCUUAUUUUUCUGGAGUUUUUAAGACUUCUACAAAUUACAGACUGAGAUGCUAAUUGGAAAACACUUAAAGAAACACACUGAUAGAUUAAUAGAAGACAAUAAAUGUGCUAAUCUUCAAUUAAGCCUGGAAACUAUCUGUACUAGCCCCUAAUACUUAAGGUUCUUUGGCUUCUAGAAUGUUAUUUCAAAAUUGAUGUGUUCAUGUUAAAUAUUUACCAAAUGUAUGCUGGAGUGCCAGUAGUCAUACAGAGAAUAAACAACUUUAUUUUAUAACAGAAUUACAGAAAGCAAAAAUAUCACUUAAUACAACUUCAAGCUGCUAUAAAUCUAAUUUGGCAUUUUAACUAUACACAGAGUCAAACAGCAAAACAAAGACAAAACAAAAACAACUCCAAAAAACAACCAACCUCCUCCCCCCCUCCCCAAGAACUAAAUAAAAAUGAAAUCCAAAAUAAUUAACAGGUUUUUUCAAUGGCAGUCUCAAAUGAUGGUUCUGUCUUACUACUUUAUGAAUGGAAUCCACCUCAUACUUUUACUCAGUGUCCUUAAAAACCUGUGUUAACCAUUAGACAAAGUAUCUGAAACAUAUACCUUCUCAAUAACAAAUGUCAGUUCUAACAUGUAGGCAGUGAGAUUUAAUAGAAAGCAAGCAUUCUACACGUGUAUUCAAAUAAUGGAAGUGUUGAAGUUUGGACACAGUAAGAAAAAAAAAAGCACUAAGGUUUUAAGCUGCCUAGAUCUCUUGUUGGAAGAAGAUAUUUUGAUAUUCUUUCUCUCCCUAUCUGGAAUGUUGCAGACAGCAAAACGUCUACAAGAAGUUGAGCAUUGGCACCAAAGUGCAAAGAGAACACAGUGCUGAGUCAAAAGAAAUUUCUUUGUAACUCUCUCUCCUCUACAGACUGCCACACCAUCUCUGCCCCACAGAGAGGAGAAUCUUGGAACAGAAGGAGUUACAGGAGAUACCAGUACAAAAUUUAUCCAAAGAAAUAUAUAUUUUCAAAUUUUAGUAAAGGUUGUAUUUUUAUUAAAAAAGCUUUGUUAUGUGAGACCAUAUAUUUACCUGAAUAAUCUGACAAAAAAAAAAGAAAAAAAAAUCUGUAAAUUACUUCAGAAAGAGAUUUCAUUGAAAUAUUUGGGAAAAACCUACAUCUAAAUUAGUUAAGAACCCCUUUUCUGCACAGUUACCACCUGCUCCAGUGAACAGUACUUUCCAGACCCUUUUUUUGUUCACUUUCAUAUUCAAGAAUCAGCUUCAGAAAUGCAAAGAUUUGUGAAAUACCCUCUACAGUGUCAUUAAAAAAACUAAGCUUGUUAAGAAGUGGUUAUAAAAAAAUAAACAAGAAAGCUUGUAAGGGAUUAUAGGCCAAAGAUGUUAAAAUUGAGUUUGGUAUUGGCAACUCAUUCUUAAAAUUCUGGUCAUCGUUGGUAGGCUUGGUGUAUUCAGUUGAGCAGUGAUGAUCACAGUUCUUCAAGGUUAUGAUCAUGGCCAGCAUAAUUUUUGUUUCUGGAAGAAAAAGGAGGGGGAAGAUUACAUAAGCAUGCAUAGCAGACGAUGGGACACUUACACAGCAUCAGAUUCAAUAAGUCAUUUUUCACAUAAAAGUUAUUUUGGGGGAGGGUUAUUUCACAAAAAAGAGUGUUAUAUAAACUGAAGUCUCCUUUGGCCCUAAGGUGGGCAGCAAUUCAGUUUCUGUCAAUGUUUUUUUGCAUUAGUGUAUUUCUUCCUCCUCAGAAUUUUCAUGGUAUUUCAACAAUUAUCUAUUGUACCCUUAUUUAAAAUUUUAAUUCAAAAUCCAAAAUCUAAUAUAAAGAGAAAUGAAGAUAUUUGCUCAAUUAAUAAUCCUUAAGAGUACAACGUUUCACUUUCAUUAGAGAAAACAAGCCUACAUAAAAAAAACCAAACACUUCAAUAUUUGUAGCCAGGGCAAAACUAAAAAACAUAACGUGGAUUCAUGGUGUGAUCCAAUUGCCUAAAUACAGUUGUCUAAAUGUAUUUUCACAUCUGGCCUUCACUUGGUGAAGAAGGGCAUAAGUCUUCUGACAGUCUGUGCUGCAGACACAUUUAGAGCAUUUCAUGUGCUUGUGUCUGGGCAACUGAAGUUUUCCUGAGCGUUUAACUGAAAGGCGUCAUUCAAUCACAAUGUCUGAAAUACAAGAGAAAUGUGGUGAAAUGUCUUCAAACUAGUCCUUUUUAACUCCCAGAUCAAAAAACUGUAAAGCAAUUGGCAAACUUGGAGAAAAACACCUGACACUCUGGUAAUAUUUCAAACACCAUUGUACAAUGUACAUUGUACAAACACCAUUUACUUCUCAAAGAAGUAAAGCACACCCUCCGGACAUAUAAACAAUUCUUUGAGUUUUUGUCGUCAAAAAAACUUUUACCAAGUAGUAGAAUAUUUGAUUAAAGAACACAGUCAAGUUUGCAGUUGGUCACUAAUGCAGAAAUACAGCGCAUAUCUGUGAAGACUAUUUCUUCCUUCCAUGGCAUAGUCCCUUCAAAAGAGAUGCUACGAUUACUUACAUGGGACAGAUUACGUUGAACACUGAUUUUGAGGCAAUUUUGUGGAUUGAGAUAGUGUGAAAAAUUUGGCACAUUCUGCAUAGAUAUAGCAAAAGAAGCAGUCCCCACUCCCAAAAUCCUUAAAUUCAUGCUGAAUAGAAGUAUUGUGAUUACAGUACAUACUGUAAUAAAUUCUUACAAAUCAAAAUGAUUUGUUCUGCUCCCAGUGCAUUUUUCUACCUUAGAUCCUUCUAUGCAAAUACUGAAAAUAGGAGAAGGAUGGUUUUAGUGUGUGGGUUCAGCGCCGCCCAGUACCAAGGGGGUAGAGAAGUUACCUAGAACACAGACAUUUUCCUUACUGCAAACUAACAGCUCUCAAAAACAGUGUGGAUUUUUCCAAGCCUUUCUGGGUCAUGUGUAACACUUCUAUAAUAUUACUAUCUCACAGCGCAGCUCCAUGUCUCUUGUGUUUUCAAAAGAAAGCUGGAGCAUACAUGCUCGUUGUUUCCAGUGUCACUAAGCAAUAAAGCUACAAGGUGGAACACCAAGAAAAGUUAGUAAAACUAACUUUCCUGUACAGUUCCUCAUUUAGUCACUUGUUCCCAAGCAUACAAAAUAUCUCAACAAAACAACAUACUCCUCUCCACUGUCCCCCAGAAACCCCAAAUCCCACCACACAUGCACUAGAUUUGUGGACCUUCAAGUCCAUUCCUUUCCGGCCUGAAUCAUCUUUAUUAUAUAUAGCAAAAGAAGACAAAUGUUUGGAGGAACAGCAGUGUGUGUUUUAAAUUACUGACAGCUGGAAUUGUCUGAGAGCAUUGCAACUUCUGAAGAUAUUCCAAGAAACGUCAGAACUCUUCUAUAUCCACCAAAAGACGUUUUGUUAUUUCCAGCUUUUAACAAUAACAUUGAGUGAUAGAACAUUCACCUAGCACUUCCAAAUCUGACCUAUACUGGUUUUGGUUUGCAUAAGUUACAAGCAAAAAUUAUUCACUCCUUUUUCAAAUACACAUUAACCUAACCAAUACUGAAGAUAUUUUAAAGAGAGCAGCUCAAAUUUGUUCCACUCUGACAUAAAGCCUCCAGAUUCUCAGAGAGCUUAAAGAAGAACCAGUCAAAAGGAAUUUAUGAACUCUCAUCACAAAAAAAAAAACAAACAACAACAUUUGAGUACAAUCUGUAGGAGGCCAGAAAAGGCAACUGGAACUCUCUCACUCA